UACGGAGGGGGCUAGCGUUGUUCGGAAUUACUGGGCGUAAAGCGUGCGCAGGCGGUUAUUUAAGUCAGGUGUGAAAGCCCUGGGCUUAACCUAGGAAUUGCGCUUGAGACUGGAUAGCUUGGAGUGCGGCAGAGGGAGGUGGAAUUCCACGUGUAGCAGUGAAAUGCGUAGAGAUGUGGAGGAACACCGAUGGCGAAGGCAGCCUCCUGGGCCAGCACUGACGCUCAUGCACGAAAGCGUGGGGAGCAAACAGG
This 254-nucleotide ribosomal RNA is filed under the name uncultured bacterium. RNAcentral's name for it is "partial 16S ribosomal RNA". It matches the Rfam family "Bacterial small subunit ribosomal RNA", at positions 524 to 776 of the family's 1533-position model. The record is from RNAcentral.